AGUGAACGCUGGCGGUAGGCCUAACACAUGCAAGUCGAACGGCAGCACAGUAAGAGCUUGCUCUUACGGGUGGCGAGUGGCGGACGGGUGAGGAAUACAUCGGAAUCUACUUUUUCGUGGGGGAUAACGUAGGGAAACUUACGCUAAUACCGCGUACGACCUACGGGUGAAAGCAGGGGAUCUUCGGACCUUGCGCGAUUGAAUGAGCCGAUGUCGGAUUAGCUAGUUGGCGGGGUAAAGGCCCACCAAGGCGACGAUCCGUAGCUGGUCUGAGUGGAUGAUCAGCCACACUGGAACUGAGACACGGUCCAGACUCCUACGGGAGGCAGCAGUGGGGAAUAUUGGACAAUGGGCGAAAGCCUGAUCCAGCCAUACCGCGUGGGUGAAGAAGGCCUUCGGGUUGUAAAGCCCUUUUGUUGGGAAAGAAAAGCAGCAGGUUAAUACCCCGCUGUUCUGACGGUACCCAAAGAAUAAGCACCGGCUAACUUCGUG
RNAcentral lists this ribosomal RNA (492 nucleotides) under uncultured bacterium. RNAcentral's name for it is "partial 16S ribosomal RNA". It matches the Rfam family "Bacterial small subunit ribosomal RNA", at positions 29 to 507 of the family's 1533-position model. The record is from RNAcentral.